Molecule: ribosomal RNA, 582 nt
Filed under: Psychromonas sp.
Lineage: Bacteria; Pseudomonadati; Pseudomonadota; Gammaproteobacteria; Alteromonadales; Psychromonadaceae
Description: bacterial SSU rRNA
Rfam family: Bacterial small subunit ribosomal RNA
Source: RNAcentral
GCAGCAGUGGGGAUAUUGCACAAUGGGCGCAAGCCUGAUGCAGCCAUGCCGCGUGUGUGAAGAAGGCUUUCGGGUUGUAAAGCACUUUCAGCGAGGAGGAAAGGUUGUACUUUAAUAGAGUGCAGCUGUGACGUUACUCGCAGAAGAAGCACCGGCUAACUCCGUGCCAGCAGCCGCGGUAAUACGGAGGGUGCGAGCGUUAAUCGGAAUUACUGGGCGUAAAGCGCGCGUAGGCGGUUAAUUAAGUCAGAUGUGAAAUCCCAGGGCUCAACCUUGGAACUGCAUUUGAAACUGGUUAACUAGAGUUUUGUAGAGGGUGGUAGAAUUUCAGGUGUAGCGGUGAAAUGCGUAGAGAUCUGAAGGAAUACCAGUGGCGAAGGCGGCCACCUGGACAAAGACUGACGCUGAGGCGCGAAGGCGUGGGGAGCAAACGGGAUUAGAUACCCCGGUAGUCCACGCAGUAAACGAUGUCUAUUAGAAUUUUGUGGCUAUAUGCCGUGGGAUUCAAAGCUAACGCAUUAAAUAGACCGCCUGGGGAGUACGGCCGCAAGGUUAAAACUCAAAUGAAUUGACGGGGCCCCG